UUUUUAUAAUUUACCGAUUCUGUGGCUUUCAGUUUUCACAAUUUUUUGGUAACUUCUUUUCCCCAAAGAAUAUUGCUCUCUUCUUCGCCGGUUCCGUCGCGAACUAAUUUUCACCUCCCCAACUUCUGCCUGACUUUCUUCCGUAGGGCUGCUGGUAUCCGAUUCUUGUUUACAAUCUGUUCCCAUUCUUCCUUUGCUAUCUUCGCUGCUAACAUUGUUGAAAUUGUUCGGUAUUGCCAUUUCCCGAGUUUGAAUAGCUUCUUGUAGGGAUUGGCUCUCAACCGAAGGCCAUUCAGGUACCUUCUUCGUCCCUCUCAAUUACCCUUUUUGUAUUUGCAUUUUAGGGAGUACUUCGUAUGGAUAUGUCACUAUGAUCAAUCCUAUUCCUGUUUCAAGAACGGGUGUUUGUUCUAGUCUUAAGGGAAAGUGAAGUAUUCUCUUUCAUUGUAGGUCGGAUUUUUAGUCAUUUUUUAUUUUGUUAUUCCACUCAUUGAAUUUAGUUGUUAAGUAGCAGGACUGGAACUACAAUAGAGUAAUGGCGUCUUCAGAUGAUGAGGCUGAGACCUUACCAGUACCACCUGUCUCAAAU
Molecule: long non-coding RNA, 589 nt
Filed under: Cucumis sativus (cucumber)
Lineage: Eukaryota; Viridiplantae; Streptophyta; Magnoliopsida; Cucurbitales; Cucurbitaceae
Description: long non-coding RNA (CSAT_LNC003081)
Source: RNAcentral